Molecule: ribosomal RNA, 360 nt
Filed under: uncultured Agrobacterium sp.
Lineage: Bacteria; Pseudomonadati; Pseudomonadota; Alphaproteobacteria; Hyphomicrobiales; Rhizobiaceae
Description: bacterial SSU rRNA
Rfam family: Bacterial small subunit ribosomal RNA
Source: RNAcentral
UCCUACGGGAGGCAGCAGUGGGGAAUAUUGGACAAUGGGCGCAAGCGUGAUCCAGCCAUGCCGCGUGAGUGAUGAAGGCCUUAGGGUUGUAAAGCUCUUUCACCGAUGAAGAUAAUGACGGUAGUCGGAGAAGAAGCCCCGGCUAACUUUGUGCCAGCAGCCGCGGUAAUUCGAAGGGGGCUAGCGUUGUUCGGAAUUACUGGGCGUAAAGCGCACGUAGGCGGAUAUUUAAGUCAGGGGUGAAAUCCCAGAGCUCAACUCUGGAACUGCCUUGAUAAGGGGUAUCUUGAGUAUGGAAGAGGUAAGUGGAAUUGCGAGUGUAGAGGUGAAAUUCGUAGAUAUUAGCAGGAAAACCAGAAG